CCUACGGGAGGCAGCAGUGGGGAAUCUUGCGCAAUGGGCGAAAGCCUGACGCAGCCAUGCCGCGUGAAUGAUGAAGGUCUUAGGAUUGUAAAAAUUCUUUCACCGGGGACGAUAAUGACGGUACCCGGAGAAGAAGCCCCGGCUAACUUCGUGCCAGCAGCCGCGGUAAUACGAAGGGGGCUAGCGUUGCUCGGAAUUACUGGGCGUAAAGGGAGCGUAGGCGGAUAGUUUAGUCAGAGGUGAAAGCCCAGGGCUCAACCUUGGAAUUGCCUUUGAUACUGGCUAUCUUGAGUUUGGGAGAGGUGAGUGGAACUCCGAGUGUAGAGGUGAAAUUCGUAGAUAUUCGGAAGAACACCAGUGGCGAAGGCGACUCACUGGCCCAAUACUGACGCUGAGGCUCGAAAGCGUGGGGAGCAAACAGGAUUAGAUACCCUGGUAGUCCACGCCGUAAACGAUGAGUGCUAGUUGUCGGCAUGCAUGCAUGUCGGUGACGCAGCUAACGCAUUAAGCACUCCGCCUGGGGAGUACGGUCGCAAGAUUAAAACUUAAAGGAAUUGACGG
This 561-nucleotide ribosomal RNA is filed under the name uncultured bacterium. RNAcentral's name for it is "bacterial SSU rRNA". It matches the Rfam family "Bacterial small subunit ribosomal RNA", at positions 338 to 916 of the family's 1533-position model. The record is from RNAcentral.